UACGUAGGGGGCAAGCGUUGUCCGGAAUCAUUGGGCGUAAAGAGCGUGUAGGCGGCCCGAUAAGUCCGCUGUGAAAUCCCAAGGCUCAACCUUGGAACUGCCUUUGAUACUGGGGAUCUCGAGUCCGGAAGAGGUUGGUGGAACUCCGAGUGUAGAGGUGAAAUUCGUAGAUAUUCGGAAGAACACCAGUGGCGAAGGCGGCCAACUGGUCCGGCACUGACGCUGAGGUGCGAAAGCGUGGGGAGCAAACAGG
This 253-nucleotide ribosomal RNA is filed under the name uncultured bacterium. RNAcentral's name for it is "partial 16S ribosomal RNA". It matches the Rfam family "Bacterial small subunit ribosomal RNA", at positions 524 to 776 of the family's 1533-position model. The record is from RNAcentral.